This 221-nucleotide non-coding RNA is filed under the name Duganella sp. Root198D2. RNAcentral also lists the same sequence under 1 other name. Lineage: Bacteria; Pseudomonadati; Pseudomonadota; Betaproteobacteria; Burkholderiales; Oxalobacteraceae. The record is from RNAcentral.
GUAUAAUGGCGGGGUUUUGGUGCCCGCAAUCGAAUUCUCGAAUGCAGUUAAACGGGAAACACGGCGCUGUCCCUGACAGCCAACGUGUGCUGCCCCCGCAACGGUAAGCAAGUGCCGCCUUCAAUGUGCGGCAGCGACCUCCCGGCCACUGUGCGAAAGCAUGGGAAGGCCAGGCCGCCAGACUUGCCAGCCCGGAUACCGGCCAGACCAGGUGGGAACGC